This 253-nucleotide ribosomal RNA is filed under the name uncultured bacterium. Its description in RNAcentral is "partial 16S ribosomal RNA". It matches the Rfam family "Bacterial small subunit ribosomal RNA", at positions 524 to 776 of the family's 1533-position model. The record is from RNAcentral.
GACAGAGGGUGCAAACGUUGUUCGGAAUUACUGGGCGUAAAGCGCGUGUAGGCAGCUCGGAAAGUCGGGUGUGAAAGCCCUGGGCUCAACCUAGGAAGUGCACUCGAAACUUCCGAGCUGGAGUGCUGGAGAGGAAGGCGGAAUUCUCGGUGUAGAGGUGAAAUUCGUAGAUAUCGAGAGGAACACCGGUGGCGAAGGCGGCCUUCUGGACAGUAACUGACGCUGAGACGCGAAAGCGUGGGGAGCAAACAGG